Molecule: ribosomal RNA, 494 nt
Filed under: uncultured bacterium
Lineage: Bacteria
Description: partial 16S ribosomal RNA
Rfam family: Bacterial small subunit ribosomal RNA
Source: RNAcentral
GAUGAACGCUGGCGGCGUGCCUAAUACAUGCAAGUCGAGCGAACGGACGAGAAGCUUGCUUCUCUGAUGUUAGCGGCGGACGGGUGAGUAACACGUGGAUAACCUACCUAUAAGACUGGGAUAACUUCGGGAAACCGGAGCUAAUACCGGAUGAUAUUUUGAACCGCAUGGUUCAAAAGUGAAAGACGGUCUUGCUGUCACUUAUAGAUGGAUCCGCGCUGCAUUAGCUAGUUGGUAAGGUAACGGCUUACCAAGGCAACGAUGCAUAGCCGACCUGAGAGGGUGAUCGGCCACACUGGAACUGAGACACGGUCCAGACUCCUACGGGAGGCAGCAGUAGGGAAUCUUCCGCAAUGGGCGAAAGCCUGACGGAGCAACGCCGCGUGAGUGAUGAAGGUCUUCGGAUCGUAAAACUCUGUUAUUAGGGAAGAACAUAUGUGUAAGUAACUGCGCACAUCUUGACGGUACCUAAUCAGAAAGCCACGGCUAACUAC